AGUUCCGGAAGUGGAAAGAGCCAGUGGGAAAGCUGACUAACCUCUACGGCGCGUCGGCGGCGCCUUCAUGAGGCAUGACGGGAAUUGUAGUCUUCUUAGGCUUCUUUUCCUCCUAUGUGGAAAACGUAACUGUGGUUUCCGGGGCACAGCUGAAGGGGGCAGCAAUGAGAAAGCCUUUUUCCAAUCUGUAAAGGGGAGGAGAGGACGCGGGGCUCACUGUCGAGGAGGUGCUCUGCGCCGCCUCCCUGAGACGGCCUCUUAUAUAGUGUUCUUAUACACGGAAACAUAAUGCUGCUUCUAUAGGACAUCAUUUCUCAAGAAGAAUUAAGAGUUGUUCUUCAAUAUCAACUUUAAAUGGAUGUCUUAAAAUUCAGUUAACCUAGGGGCGCCUGUGUGGCUCAGUCGUUAAGCGCUGCUUUCGACUCAGGUCAUGAUCCCAGGGUCCUCAGAUCGGGCUGCACAUGGGGCACCCUGCUCGGCGGGAAGCCUGCUUCUCCCUCUCCCACUCCCCCUGCUUGUGUUCCCUCUCUCGCUGUGUCUCUGUCAAAUAUAUAAAUAAAGUCUUAAAAAAAAUUCAAUUGAUCUGUAAA
Molecule: long non-coding RNA, 590 nt
Organism: Mirounga angustirostris (Northern elephant seal)
Lineage: Eukaryota; Metazoa; Chordata; Mammalia; Carnivora; Phocidae
Exons: 2
Source: RefSeq, a predicted model, not a curated record